Molecule: ribosomal RNA, 233 nt
Filed under: uncultured bacterium
Lineage: Bacteria
Description: partial 16S ribosomal RNA
Rfam family: Bacterial small subunit ribosomal RNA
Source: RNAcentral
UGAGGAACAUGACCUUCGGCGGGGGAUAGCCGGCCCAACGGCCGGGUAAUACCGCGUACGACCUUUCGGGGACAUCCCUGGAUGGUGAAAGCAGCAAUGCGCCGAUGGAGUGCCUCGCGGCCUAUCAGCUAGUUGGUGAGGUAACGGCUCACCAAGGCGACGACGGGUAGCUGGUCUGAGAGGAUGAUCAGCCACACUGGGACUGAGACACGGCCCAGACUCCGUAGGGACGG